AGGGGGCUAGCGUUGCUCGGAAUCACUGGGCGUAAAGCGCACGUAGGCGGACUCUUAAGUCGGUGGUGAAAUCCUGGAGCUCAACUCCAGAACUGCCUUCGAUACUGGGAGUCUUGAGUCCGGGAGAGGUGAGUGGAACUGCGAGUGUAGAGGUGAAAUUCGUAGAUAUUCGCAAGAACACCAGUGGCGAAGGCGGCUCACUGGCCCGGUACUGACGCUGAGGUGCGAAAGCGUGGGGAGCAAACCGG
RNAcentral lists this ribosomal RNA (248 nucleotides) under uncultured bacterium. Its description in RNAcentral is "partial 16S ribosomal RNA". It matches the Rfam family "Bacterial small subunit ribosomal RNA", at positions 529 to 776 of the family's 1533-position model. The record is from RNAcentral.